CUCAUCGUCUCCGGGAAAUUUAGGGUUAGGGAUGGUGCGCAUUCUACCAAGGAAUGGCGGAUUCUAGGCGCGCCUCCUCGCAAUUCGUCGACGAUGCCCGACCGAUGAGCUGAAUUCGCAGGAAUCGAGGCGUCGGCGGCGGCGACGCCAAAUCGGGGGUCGUGAAUCGGGGGCUAUGUAGCAGCGCGCUAGUGUUCUUGCAGGAUUCUUGUGAUUCCAGCUAGGGUAUAGGCGCGCAAUCAUCAUGAGCGGGAGGAUUCCGGUCCAUGGAUGCAGUCGAAAAUGUGCUGCAUGGGAUUGUGGGAGCUCUGAGCGCAUGGAUUCCGGGCGGCGGUGCUGGAGCCGGGGAUUCUAGCAUGUCCCGCGAGUUUUGGAUGCCCGAUCAGAGCUGCCGUGUCUGCUAUGAGUGUGAAUCGCAUUUUACGAUCUUCAACCGGCGCCAUCACUGCAGGGUUUGCGGGAGAGUCUUCUGCGGCAGGUGCACGCUCAAUACCAUCUCGGCUUCGUCGAUCAAUCUCGCGCCUCCAGAGGCGCCGGAGGAGGAUUGCGAGCGCAUCCGGGUGUGUAAUUUUUGCUACAGGCUUAGGCAGCAGCAGCUGGGCAAAGGGGAUUCUUCUUCUCUGGAGCCGGCGGUGACGAGCCCGUCUCUCACUCCAACGUCGUCUAGGAGUAGUUUGAUUAGCAGUAACACCAGCGGUAGCACGUCCAUGGCUUCCCCUCGAGCGGCGCUGGCUUCUUCCGAGAGGCGAGGUGACGAGAGCGAUGACUUAAAGCAAGAAGAGUAUGGCAAACAUUUGUCGUUAAGCAUGAGGAGCGAUGAUGAAGACGAAGGGAGGAAAGGACGCCAACAAAACCAUAUAUCUCGCGGUAAUCAAGACGGUGGUCUGGAUACGCAUCUCAAAAGCCAAGCUAGCUACUACUCGCAGAGCUCCGAGAGCUUCGAUGACAAGGGGGAUACGUCCGAGAGCAGGCCGCCCAGCGAGAGGUCGUUCCGGCGUUCGUGCGAUGAUAUUGAAAGCUUGGAUGACGAGAACAAUUUCCGGAACCAUCUCUACGAGGCCGCGUGUCGGGAGGUCGAUAAGUCGGUGGACUUUGAGAAUAACAAGCAUGUCUGGUACCCUCCACCACCGGAAGAAGACGAGGACGAAACGGGACCUGGAUACGAGGACGAGGACGACGACGAUGAAGGUGGCUGGGGUCUUCCACGGUCGUCCGGAAGUAUGAGCAGCACUGAGUAUAGGAGCCGGGAACGCGCUGCUUCGGAAGAACAUCGAAAGGCCAUGCGAGCCGUAGUUGACGGUCACUUCAGAGCUCUGGUGGCACAACUCCUUCGCGGUGAAAACAUUUCCGUCGAUGAUGAAGAUGAGAAGGAUAGCUGGCUUGACAUCGUCACUGGAUUGGCUUUGCAAGCAGCAAGCAUCGUCAAACCAGAUAGCAGCAGGGGAGGUAGCAUGGAUCCGGGAGGCUACGUGAAGGUGAAAUGCAUCGCAUCUGGUCGGCGGUCCGACAGCAUGAUCAUCAAAGGUAUUGUUUGCAAAAAGAACCUUGCACAUAAGAGGAUGAUUACGCGGUUUAAGAAUCCGAGGCUGCUUAUUAUUGGUGGUGCGCUGGAGUAUCAGAGAGUUUCGAACCAGUUUUCGUCGAUGGACACUCUACUCCAACAGGAAAGGGACUACCUGAACAUGGCUGCGGCAAGGAUCGAGGCUCAGCAUCCCAAUGUCGUGCUCGUUGAGAAAGGAGUAACUCGUUUUGCGCAAGACCGUUUACUGGCGAAAGAAAUAUCGCUGGUGCAGAAUGUUAAGCGUCCUCUUCUGGAGAGGAUUGCGAGAUGUACUGGUGCUCAAAUCAUAUCCACACCAGAUAAUCUCGCGGCACCAAAGGCUGGUCACUGCGAGCUUUUCCACAUUGAGAAGUUUGUAGAGGAGCUCGGUAGUGCUGGCCAAGCAGGCAAGCAACUGUCCAAGACACUGAUGUUCUUUGAAGGAUGUCCAAAACCUCUCGGAUGCACUGCUUUACUGAGGGGCGCUAAUGGAGACGAUCUGAAGAAAAUUAAACGUGUUCUUCAGCUCUCUGUCUUUGCAUCCUAUCAUUUGGCUUUGGAAACAUCAUUUCUUGCCGACGAAGGUGCCUCUCUCCCCGACCACAGGUCGCCUAUAGUCGUCACGCUGCCUAGCAAGCAAUCCAGCUCCGACCGGUCGAUCACAUCGAUCCCCGGUUUUUCAGUAGCGACCGCAGAAGGUCAACGUGUUCCUCCAGUUUCUCCUUCUACACUCACCAGCAAAGGUGCGGAGACGAAUAAUACGUUGAUGCACUCAGCAGGUCUAAAUGGCUUUACAAGGGAUUGGCAGUCGAGUUUAUCAGAUUUUACUGGGGAAAGUCUUUCCGGGUUAUCAGUUUCUCUGAGAAGAGCCUUCGGUGAGGAGGCAAUGAGAACCAAUGCAGAACAAUGGAACGUAUCUGCUGACAGGUCUCCAAAGGAAAAUGCGGAGUCAUUUUUUUUGCAAGAAGGUGAUAGAGAAGGAUCAGACGCAGAUGAACAGAGUGGAAAAGACGAUUUCCCUCCAACGCCCUCCGACCACCAAAGUAUUCUCGUAUCGCUGUCAACACGGUGUCUCACCAAGGGAUCUGUUUGUGAACGGCCCAACAUAGUUCGGAUAAAGUAUUACGGAAACUCGGACAAGCCACUGGGAAGAUUUUUGAGAGACACCUUGUUCGACGGCAACAAUCGCUGCCAACAUUGUGAUGAACCCGCCGACGCACACAUUCGCUGUUAUACCCAUCGCUUGGGUAGUCUGACGAUCUCAGUUCGACGGAUGGACGACCAUACUUUACCUGGUGAAAGAGAUGGAAAAAUAUGGAUGUGGCAUAGGUGCUUAAAGUGUCCUCGGACUGACGAUCUUCCGCCGGUGACUCGUAGAAUCGUGAUGUCUGAUGCCGCCUGGGGUUUAUCGUUCGGAAAGUUUUUGGAACUGAGCUUCUCUAAUCAUGCAGCUGCUAGCAGAGUCGCUGUAUGUGGCCACCAACUUCACAGAGAUUGUUUACGAUUUUACGGGUUCGGCAAUAUGAUAGCGUGCUUUCGCUAUGCUUCUGUUCAUUUGCAUUCAAUUCAUCUUCCUCCUCCAAAGUUGGAGUUUAACGAUCCGAGCCAACAGGAGUGGCUCAGGGACGAAGCUAAUGAGGUACAUUGUUGUUUAAAGACGAUUUGGCUUUUAACAUAUGACGUUAAGAUUGCCAACAAGGGAGAGCUGGUUUUCACGGAAAUACUGGAUCAUUUACGUGUUAUUGGCGAACAUAUUGCCAGCUCGGGCUCCUUUUCUGGAAGCGGAAGAAACGCCGAAGCUAGAAAACGUGCUGUGUACUUGGAAGCGUUCUUCCAAAAAGAAAAGGCCGAGUUUGAGAAGACACUGUUGAAAGCUGUUCCAUCACAUACUGAUCCAGGACAGCCAGUCGCAGACAUUCUGGAGCUCUGUCGUCUGCGAAAGGACCUUGCUCUCCGGGCCAUGGAGUGGGAUAAACGUCUUCAUUACUUUGCUGCCUCUCAGCAGCGAAAGUAUACGUCAGCAGGUUCAGAUCCGGGGAUGCUACCUGACCAGCCUGUCCCGAGCAAGGACGCGUCUGUGAAGCCAAUAUUGAAGACAUACUCAAAUACGAAUGUGCAACCAUUUGCUUCGCUUGUCCACGACGAAGAAGCGGACAAACCAACUUCCGUCAAAGACGAUACAGUCGUGGUACAUGAUAUGGUUUGCAACAUGGAUAUGGUGGACGGCAUUCCUUGUUUGCCUGUGGCUCCUGCCGAGCCAGAGGGUACCGAAGGGGUUACAGAGGCACUUGGUUUGGAUGUAGACCUCAGGAGGACACUCUCUGAAGGCAGUUGUCCGGUUGUCGCCGAUAUCUCUCAUACGCUAGAUGCUGCAUGGAGUGGCGAGACACAAGCAGCUACAGAGGUUCCAUGCAAUGCGGAAGACCAUGAAAGCGCCAAAGCCUCCGAGGCAGAAGUUACUGGAGAGAAUGGAAGUAAGAAGGAGCACUCACCUACGAGCUCGACAAGCCAACCCGAUGAAGAGUUAACAGCGUCACGGCAAAAGGAGUUUGACGAGCUCGGCAACUGGAUUGAUGGACCAUACUCGACGUUAUACAGGGGUAGAGGGGCUUCAAGUCAGUCGCCGUCAACCUCUUUUAUAUCCCAGCAGGCUUUACAAGGUGGAGCACGGCUUUUCUGGCCACCUGGUGUGAAUGGCACCGUGAAUGCGGUUUACGAAGACGAGCCUACGAGUAUCAUCGCUCAUGCACUUUUGUCGCAAUACUACGUGACCGAGCUCGGUGGAGAGAAAGGGAAGGGACAAAGUGGAGAAAAAGAGAAUGGAAGUGCGGUGGUGUCUGAGGAAGCGUCCUCACAAGUUCUCGAAGAAGGGGUCAUGAAGGAGAGGUCCAACAGCUUCAAAGACGCUUCUUCAAAUGGGAAGGUUGAGGAUCCUUUAUUGAGCACAAAGGGGGUGAACUUGAAGAUCGAGAACUCUGAGACAGGUCCGGAUGCGAAGCUGAAAUACAUCGUCACCGCCUACUACGCCAAGCACUUCGAUGCGCUGCGGAAGAAAUGCUGCGCUGGUGACUUGGAGUUCGUGCGGUCGUUGAGCAGGUGCCGCAAAUGGGGAGCACAGGGUGGAAAGAGCAACGUCUUUUUUGCCAAGUCGAUGGACGACAGAUUCAUCGUGAAGCAAGUGACGAGGACGGAGCUUCUCUCUUUCCUGGAGUUUGCACCGGAGUACUUCAAAUAUCUCUUCGAUUCCAUAAACUCUGGCAGCCCGACCUGUCUGGCUAAGAUUCUGGGGAUGUAUCAGGUGAUCAUAAAGCAAGUCAAGGGAGGCAAGGAAGUACGCAUGGAUUUGAUGGUCAUGGAGAAUCUGCUCUAUGGCAGACACGUUACUCGGCUAUAUGAUUUGAAAGGCUCAGUGCGCUCUCGUUACAACUCAGACUCCACGGCAAAGAACGCUGUUUUGUUGGACCAGAACCUGUUGGAAUCCAUGCCAACGGCACCCAUUUUUGUCGGGAAUAAAGCCAAGAGGCUUUUGGAGCGAGCGGUAUGGAACGACACCUCAUUCCUUGCGAACAUAGAUGUCAUGGACUACUCGCUACUCGUUGGGAUUGACGAAGAACGAGGGGAGCUUGUCCUCGGGAUUAUUGACUUCAUGCGGCAAUACACAUGGGACAAGCAUCUGGAGACGUGGGUCAAGGCUUCGGGCAUUCUCGGAGGCCCAAAGAACGCGCCGCCGACCGUGAUCUCUCCCAAGCAGUACAAGAAGCGCUUCCGCAAGGCCAUGUCGACGUACUUCGUUACUGUUCCCGACCACUGGACUCCUCCCUCGGUCAUCAGCGCUUGUCCGGGGCCGGAGGAGAGUGGAAGCAGCAGCCACAACAAUGGGAGCUCCACCACAAACGGGCAGGACGAGUACGGUGAAAGCUUUGGAGGCUGAGCGGAGCUCCGGGCUAUCCAUCCAUCGAUCUACCGAUCGACCGGCUUCCUGGAAUGAAUCUUCAUAAUCUACAAAGUCCUUGUUCCUCGUAUAUGGAUUCGCAUGCCAUAUGCUGUUGUUUCCCAACUUCCGCCACUUCAGAUUUCUCACGAGUAACAAGUGGAACUGUGCCGCCUGCGAAAAUUUGUAAGACCUGUUCUUCGCUCUUUGAAAUUGUUGAAAAAGUACAUUCGACGAACUUGCAGCAUCAAACUCGUUGAAUGAGAUCAUCACAAUCACAAUCACAUUCAUCUAUGCAAAAAGUGCAGUAACGAAGGGGUGGUUCGGAAAACACCCUGCACGGAGGGAAGAGCAGCUGUCCACGUUGGAAUAUGCUUCUUGUUCAAAAAUGAAAAUGAACUAUGAAAUUG
Molecule: RNA transcript, 5881 nt
Organism: Selaginella moellendorffii
Lineage: Eukaryota; Viridiplantae; Streptophyta; Lycopodiopsida; Selaginellales; Selaginellaceae
Gene name: 1-phosphatidylinositol-3-phosphate 5-kinase FAB1B
Exons: 11
Source: RefSeq, a predicted model, not a curated record